Long non-coding RNA from Xiphophorus maculatus (southern platyfish), 2377 nucleotides. RefSeq lists it as uncharacterized. The record is from RefSeq and is a predicted model, not a curated record. The transcript is spliced from 3 exons. NCBI's taxonomy places the organism in Eukaryota, Metazoa, Chordata, Actinopteri, Cyprinodontiformes, Poeciliidae.
CGGGGACUCCGUGGCCAGCCGCCAGAGCUCCUCCCUGGCCUGGACGGAAGCCUGUAAGGCCUCCAGGACGGAGCUCUUGAAGAUACCCGCAUUGCGCCUGUAACGGACCUCCCCAUUGGCUGGCGGACAUCACGUGGAGGACAGACAGAGGACGUGCGCUUCGGAAGCGAGGAAUCACGUCACGUCCAUAGACGGCUUCCAACUUUCUUCAUGAGUCGAAGAAAGAAGAGAAAAUGCUGAAACCUACCCUGCAGUAUGAAAAUGGUAGUAAACAUUCAACUUUUAUCCUACCUGAUCACAUAACACAGUUUUAUUUAUUUAGUAUCUCUAAUGACUAAUAUUGUAUUCUGAAAUGAGCUGGUCCAAUAUUUAGUAAGACAUUUUCUGUAUUAAAAAUGUAAAUUAUUCUGCCCAUGCAAUCACUCCUCUGACAAUUAACAUACGGUAUUAACCUGGUUGUAGAUUUUUUUUUUUUUUUUGGACAGAACAUUUAAAAGCUUAUUCUAUGGUCACUUACUAAACAAAAUUAAGCCAAAUUGGGGAGGGGGGGGAAAAUCAGCUAGGGGUCGUCAAGCUAAUGCUAUUGAUUAACUGAUCACCAGCUACGGUAAUCAAGUCAUUUAAAGUAUGUUUUUCACUUGGCUAACAAAAACGGAGAUUUUUUAUUUUUUAUUUUUUAGCAAGGACCUUAAAUAACCAGUGGUUACUGUUAUGUACGGUCAAAUUUCUAAACCCCUAAUGCCACAAAUCUAAAGGAUGAAAAAUUGACUGCUGGAAAACAUUUGAGACACCCCAGCAAAUUAAUCAUAAGGCCAAAUAGUGAAUUAGUCAGGAAACUUACAAAACCCAAGAGCACCGUCUCAGACACCAUAGGCCUCACUUACCAGGAGAAAACCUCCCCUCUGAGAAAAACAGACUUAAAUGCCUUUAGUUUGCAAAAUCACAUGUGAUGGAACCAAGACACUUCUUGAACAUUGUGAUUUGUACACAUGAGGCUAGAGAAGUUUGGUGAAACGGCAUAUCGUCACAAACAUCUCAAAUCGGCUGUCAGGCAUGGAGGUGGGGGUGUGAUGGUCUGGGCUUGUUUAGCAGUCACAUACAGUCACUGUGGGCCAUUUAUUCUGCUGUAUAAUGAAAUAUCUUAGAAUCUGUUGACAGCUGAAAGUGGGCCAGAACUGGAUACAGCAGAACAAAGAAAAUUGGGGAGAAAAUAUGACUUUAAGACUCAGUCAAACAAAAUGAGCUAAAACUAUUUCUGACGUAGGUUUUUAAACAGAAUGAAUCAUAUGGUGUGAAAAAAGCAUCCUUUGAUUCAGAAUAAUCAUCUUAAAGCACUUUGACUAAAAUUCCAGAGACCAAAGCCUACCUCUGAACAGUUUCUGCUUCUUCACUCCAAAAAACCCUUUAAACAAUCAAACAAAAAUCUCGUUUUUUUAUGAGAUGAGGAGAGUUCACCAAAACAGCUCAGGGCACCAAGAAGAUCUGCAACAGCUGUCACUAUAUGAUGAAGUUUCCAUUUAAGUCUGGAAAACUUUUCAGUGGCCACUUAAACCGCUAUAAGCCUAAAAAAAAUAAAAAUAAAACAGUACAUCUGACGAUUCAACCCUCAAUUGUACAGUUAAAAAACAUUUUUCAAGCAUCGUUUUCAGGGAAACUAGCGACAAACUACAAACAACCGCUCGAGUUCAUCAAGUUGUUUCCAAAGAUGAGAAGUAAACGGUGUAAAUGUGAGCUGUUAUAAACACCAGCUUGUUUUUUUUAAUGGGACAAAGCAAAAACACAAACCAUGUCACUGAUGUAUGAACAGAACUCGUCUUCUCAAAAACGUAGGCUGAAAACAUUCAUAGGCACUGCCUACUCUCUUACUUUUAUCAAUUUUUUUUGGUCAAAUUAAAAGUAACUUAACUUGAUAAGGCAACAAAAAUGGAUUUUCCAACUCUACGGACACAACUGUAGACAAGCUGCGAAAGUCUUGAGCGCUAGAAGUAGGUUUCGGAAUCUAUAAAAACAAUCACUACAAUGGUGUAAAACAAUAAUUUAAAUUAUAAAGUUGUUUUUUGUUUUUUUUUAUUUCUUUAAGUUUAAUCUAAAGACUUCCGCAUUACAUAGCAAUGCCACUUGUCCUCCAAUCUGCUGGACGAGUGAAAUGUUGCUCUGCUCCUACCAGCACUGGACAGAGGUGCUACCUUCAAACGGGCGCCGGGAUCGGUUUCCCCCAACCAGGAGCAAGCACGCAUUCUCAUUGAACAUGUCUUUAUACAGCUUUAGUACAAUUAAACAGACUGUUUGGCUAUUUACAUGUAACAGGCUUCCAAAUAAAAACCGCAGAAAAAGUGGAAUGCAAAAAAAAAAAAAAAGAAAGAAAGAAAAUUUAGAG